This 516-nucleotide ribosomal RNA is filed under the name uncultured bacterium. RNAcentral's name for it is "bacterial SSU rRNA". It matches the Rfam family "Bacterial small subunit ribosomal RNA", at positions 28 to 459 of the family's 1533-position model. The record is from RNAcentral.
GAUGAACGCUAGCGGUGUGCCUUAAGCAUGCAAGUCGAGCGCUUGUGUUUCGCACAAGGAUAACGGAUUAACGCUGAUUUUUGGACGGAUUAGUGCAGGUUUAUCUGCAAAAAUCUGUUUUUGAUUAGCGAAAAUCAGUGUCCUCGCGCGAAGCGCAAGAGCGGCGGACGGCUGAGUAACACGUAGGUAGCUACCCUUUAGCGGGGGAUAGCCCGCCGAAAGGCGGAGUAAUCCCGCAUAAUCCCCGCCUUUGGCGGGGGAAAGAGCUUAACUGCUCACUGAAGGAGGCGCCUGCGGCCUAUCAGCUUGUUGGUAGGGUAAUGGCCUACCAAGGCAAAGACGGGUAGGGGGCGUGAGAGCGUGGCCCCCAGAAUGGGACUGAGACACGGCCCAUACACCUACGGGUGGCAGCAACUGGGAAUCUUGCGCUAUGGGCGAAAAGCCUGACGCAGCGACACCGCGUGAAGGAUGAAGGCCUCGGUUGUAACUUACUAGUUAAAUAAGUACACCGGACCG